GACGAACGCUGGCGGCGUGCCUAACACAUGCAAGUCGAACGAAAGGGCCGCUUUCGGGGGCUACUGGAGUGGCGAACGGGUGAGUAACACGCGAGUGACCUGCCCUUCUCUUUGGGAUGACUUCAGGAAACUGAGGCUAACACCGGACAGAAGAUCCUUCGGCAUGGUGGGGGCUGGAGUGUUUCGGGGGUUUGGGAUGGACUCGUGGCUUAUCAGCUUCGUGGUGGGGUAGUGGCUUACCAAGGGUUUGACGAGUAGCCGGCCUGAGACGGUGACAGGCCACAUUGGGACUGAGAGACGGCCGAGACUCCUACGGGAGGCAGAAGUGGGGAAUAUUGCACAAGGGGUGGAAGCCUGAUGCAGCAAGGCUGUGUGCGGGAUGACGGCGUUCGGUUUGUAAAACGCUUUCGCUCAUGACGAAGCUUUGUGUGACGGUAGUGGGUAAAGAAGCACCGGCUAACUACGUG
RNAcentral lists this ribosomal RNA (467 nucleotides) under uncultured bacterium. Its description in RNAcentral is "partial 16S ribosomal RNA". It matches the Rfam family "Bacterial small subunit ribosomal RNA", at positions 28 to 507 of the family's 1533-position model. The record is from RNAcentral.